Non-coding RNA from Triticum aestivum (bread wheat), 135 nucleotides. NCBI's taxonomy places the organism in Eukaryota, Viridiplantae, Streptophyta, Magnoliopsida, Poales, Poaceae. The record is from Rfam.
AAAGUACUCCCUCCGUCCCAAAAUUCUUGUCUUAGAUUUGUCUAGAUACGGAUAUAUCAAGUCACAUUUUAUUAUUAGAUAGAUCUGUAUCUAGACAAAUCUAAGACAAGAAAUUUGGGAUAGAGGGAGUAGUUG